UAGAAUUGACGGGGCCCGCACAAGCGGUGGAGCAUGUGGUUAAUUCGAUGCAACGCGAGAACCUUACUAGGCUUGACAUCCCUGGAAUUUUGUGGAAACACAAAAGUGCCUUUCGGGGAACCAGGAGACAGGUGCUGCAUGGCUGUCGUCAGCUCGUGUCGUGAGAUGUUGGGUUAAGUCCCGCAACGAGCGCAACCCUCAUCCUUAGUUGCCAUCAUUGAGUUGGGAACUCUAAGGAAACUGCCUCGGUUAACGGGGAGGAAGGUGGGAUGACGUCAAGUCCUCAUGGCCUUUAUGUCCAGGGCUACACACGUGCUACAAUGGUCAGUACAAUGGGUUGCCAAGCCGCGAGGCGGAGCCAAUCCUAAAAAGCUGGCCUCAGUUCAGAUUGCAGUCUGAAACUCGACUGCAUGAAGUCGGAGUUGCUAGUAAACGCAGGUCAGCUAUACUGCGUUGAAUACGUUCCCGGGGCUU
This 474-nucleotide ribosomal RNA is filed under the name uncultured Sinobacteraceae bacterium. Its description in RNAcentral is "bacterial SSU rRNA". It matches the Rfam family "Bacterial small subunit ribosomal RNA", at positions 907 to 1382 of the family's 1533-position model. The record is from RNAcentral. Lineage: Bacteria; Pseudomonadati; Pseudomonadota; Gammaproteobacteria; Nevskiales; Nevskiaceae.